This 843-nucleotide long non-coding RNA is filed under the name Oryctolagus cuniculus (rabbit). RNAcentral's name for it is "lncRNA (ENSOCUG00000031153.1)". Lineage: Eukaryota; Metazoa; Chordata; Mammalia; Lagomorpha; Leporidae. The record is from RNAcentral.
GAAAAAUCCUUGUCUUCCAAUAAUCUCCAGGUCUUCCAGUCAAUGUCUUCCUGAAGAUCUAUGUCUUCCAGAAUAUCCGUAUCUUCCUGUAACCUCCCAGUCUUCCAGCAAAUCCACGUCUUCCGGGCACUUCAGGUCUUCCUGAAAAUCCAGGUCUUCCAAAAAACUCAUGUCUUCCAGAAAAUCCACGUCUUCCAGAGAAUUCUGGUCUUCCAUCAAAUCCAUGGCUUCCAAGAAAUCCACGUCUUCCUGCUAAUCUAUGUCUUCCAAAAAAUCCACGUCUUCCAGCAAAGCCAUGUCUUCCAGAAUAAUUCAUGUCUUCCAACAAAGCUACGUCUUCCAGAAAAUACAUGUCUUCCAGCAAAUCUGCGUCUUCCAGCAAAUCCACGUCUUCCAGAAAAAAACCUGUCUUCCAGCAAAUCCCUGUCUUCAGAAAAUCCACGUCUUCCAGAAAACCCACGUCUUCCAGAAAAUCCAUGUCUUCCUGCACCUUCAGGUCUUCCAGCAUCUCCAGGGCUUCCAGCAUCUGCUCGUCUUCCUACAUCUCUGCAUCUUCCAGCAUCAUCACGUCUUCCAACAUCUCCAGGUCUUCCAACAACUACCCAGUCUUCCAUCAGCGGGCUCAAUAUCUACGUCUUCCAAUGUCUUCAGUGUGCUGGUCUAACAUUAAGGUCUUCCAGUCUCUGCAAUAUCCAGUUUUUCAUGAGGGAACACUUGGAUCUUCAUGGAGCAGAAAAAUUUUGUUCACGGGAUCAACAUUGUGGCAUAGAGGGUAAAGCUGCUGCCUGCAGUGCCAGCAUUCCAUAUGGGCACCAGUUCAAGACCGGGCAGCUCCACUUCUGA